RNAcentral lists this long non-coding RNA (225 nucleotides) under Elaeis guineensis (African oil palm). Its description in RNAcentral is "long non-coding RNA (EGUI_LNC068039)". Lineage: Eukaryota; Viridiplantae; Streptophyta; Magnoliopsida; Arecales; Arecaceae. The record is from RNAcentral.
CCCUCCCCUUCUUUUCUUGGUUGUCUUUUUAUUGCGACGAGCGACAGCAAGCCACCAGAUUUGAACUAAAUAGGGGCAUCCCUAUUUUAUUUUAUUUUUUCCCGCAUGCCAUCGGCAACAGCUGCCAUUAGGUCUGUUGUCGGGGCUAUGUGUUCACAACCAUCAGGAACCACCAUGGUGGCUAGCAUCGGCCCUCCUUGGCUACAUGUAGGGGGAGAGGAGAAG